GUCGAACGAACUCUGGUAUUGAUUGGUGCUUGCAUCAUGAUUUACAUUUGAGUGAGUGGCGAACUGGUGAGUAACACGUGGGAAACCUGCCCAGAAGCGGGGGAUAACACCUGGAAACAGAUGCUAAUACCGCAUAACAACUUGGACCGCAUGGUCCGAGCUUGAAAGAUGGCUUCGGCUAUCACUUUUGGAUGGUCCCGCGGCGUAUUAGCUAGAUGGUGGGGUAACGGCUCACCAUGGCAAUGAUACGUAGCCGACCUGAGAGGGUAAUCGGCCACAUUGGGACUGAGACACGGCCCAAACUCCUACGGGAGGCAGCAGUAGGGAAUCUUCCACAAUGGACGAAAGUCUGAUGGAGCAACGCCGCGUGAGUGAAGAAGGGUUUCGGCUCGUAAAACUCUGUUGUUAAAGAAGAACAUAUCUGAGAGUAACUGUUCAGGUAUUGACGGUAUUUAACCAGAAAGCACGGCUAACUACGUGCCAGCAGCCGCGGUAAUACGUAGGUGGCAAGCGUUGUCCGGAUUUAUUGGGCGUAAAGCGAGCGCAGGCGGUUUUUUAAGUCUGAUGUGAAAGCCUUCGGCUCAACCGAAGAAGUGCAUCGGAAACUGGGAAACUUGAGUGCAGAAGAGGACAGUGGAACUCCAUGUGUAGCGGUGAAAUGCGUAGAUAUAUGGAAGAACACCAGUGGCGAAGGCGGCUGUCUGGUCUGUAACUGACGCUGAGGCUCGAAAGUAUGGGUAGCAAACAGGAUUAGAUACCCUGGUAGUCCAUACCGUAAACGAUGAAUGCUAAGUGUUGGAGGGUUUCCGCCCUUCAGUGCUGCAGCUAACGCAUUAAGCAUUCCGCCUGGGGAGUACGGCCGCAAGGCUGAAACUCAAAGGAAUUGACGGGGGCCCGCACAAGCGGUGGAGCAUGUGGUUUAAUUCGAAGCUACGCGAAGAACCUUACCAGGUCUUGACAUACUAUGCAAAUCUAAGAGAUUAGACGUUCCCUUCGGGGACAUGGAUACAGGUGGUGCAUGGUUGUCGUCAGCUCGUGUCGUGAGAUGUUGGGUUAAGUCCCGCAACGAGCGCAACCCUUAUUAUCAGUUGCCAGCAUUAAGUUGGGCACUCUGGUGAGACUGCCGGUGACAAACCGGAGGAAGGUGGGGAUGACGUCAAAUCAUCAUGCCCCUUAUGACCUGGGCUACACACGUGCUACAAUGGAUGGUACAACGAGUUGCGAACUCGCGAGAGUAAGCUAAUCUCUUAAAGCCAUUCUCAGUUCGGAUUGUAGGCUGCAACUCGCCUACAUGAAGUCGGAAUCGCUAGUAAUCGCGGAUCAGCAUGCCGCGGUGAAUACGUUCCCGGGCCUUGUACACACCGCCCGUCACACCAUGAGAGUUUGUAACACCCAAAGUCGGUGGGGUAACCUUUUAGGAACCAGCCGCCUAAGU
This 1435-nucleotide ribosomal RNA is filed under the name Lactiplantibacillus plantarum. RNAcentral describes it as "bacterial SSU rRNA". It matches the Rfam family "Bacterial small subunit ribosomal RNA". The record is from RNAcentral. Lineage: Bacteria; Bacillati; Bacillota; Bacilli; Lactobacillales; Lactobacillaceae.